RNAcentral lists this ribosomal RNA (111 nucleotides) under Telluria sp. RNAcentral's name for it is "partial 16S ribosomal RNA". It matches the Rfam family "Bacterial small subunit ribosomal RNA", at positions 1 to 112 of the family's 1533-position model. The record is from RNAcentral. Lineage: Bacteria; Pseudomonadati; Pseudomonadota; Betaproteobacteria; Burkholderiales; Oxalobacteraceae.
GAACUGAAGAGUUUGAUCCUGGCUCAGAUUGAACGCUGGCGGCAUGCCUUACACAUGCAAGUCGAACGGCAGCGCGGGGCAACCUGGCGGCGAGUGGCGAACGGGUGAGUA